RNAcentral lists this ribosomal RNA (253 nucleotides) under uncultured bacterium. RNAcentral describes it as "partial 16S ribosomal RNA". It matches the Rfam family "Bacterial small subunit ribosomal RNA", at positions 524 to 776 of the family's 1533-position model. The record is from RNAcentral.
UACGUAGGGUGCAAGCGUUAAUCGGAAUUACUGGGCGUAAAGCGUGCGCAGGCGGUUCUAUAAGACAGAUGUGAAAUCCCCGGGCUCAACCUGGGAACUGCAUUUGUGACUGCAUAGCUAGGGUACGGUAGAGGGAAGUGGAAUUUCCGGUGUAGCGGUGAAAUGCGUAGAUAUCGGAAGGAACAUCAGUGGCGAAAGCGACUUCCUGGACCAGUACCGACGUUCAGGCACGAAAGCGUGGGGAGCAAACAGG